Halichondria panicea is the source of this 1094-nucleotide long non-coding RNA. RefSeq lists it as uncharacterized. NCBI's taxonomy places the organism in Eukaryota, Metazoa, Porifera, Demospongiae, Suberitida, Halichondriidae. The record is from RefSeq and is a predicted model, not a curated record. The transcript is spliced from 4 exons.
UCAAAUAUUACUCAAUCAUUUUAACUACUGCGGAAAUAAAUGCUACUAUAGACUAUUGUAGUGCGUGCGCAAGAUCUUCGCUGAACUAGCUACGUUCACUGCACUGGUGCUGUUCCCAUCUUUACUAGCGACCCAAUAGGAAAGGAGUUCCUGUGGUGCCUGAUCUCUCGUAAGUCGGAGUCGAUGUAGUACGGGUACGGGUGGAAGUGGCAGCAAUUUCCCAUCUCAAUUCUUUCUCUGUUCUUUUUUGUAUAGUAAUUUACUGAUUCACAUGACAGUAAUAGCAUGCAAUCAAUGGUAGUAAAGUGUGUCAAAUGAAUAGAGAUAAAAUCUUUAUGGUCACUAAUUAUUAAUCUUCCAGCAGACCUGUUCAUGCAGAUCGACCUGUUAUGGACUCGUCAAAGAGGCAACGACCUGAGAAAGGAUACUAUUCCUACCUCCAUAAUAUAAGCUCGGCUGACAUGGACUUAUCUAGCAUGCGGGAAGCACGAGAUGUGAGAACCACUCUGAGCUGUAAGUCUGAUGACAGUCUGCCAGAAGGGGUCUUCCUUGUUGAGAGGAUAAUUCAUCAUCGACUAACUAAGGGGAAAACGGAGUAUUUGGUAAAGUGGGCUGGUUACUCAUUGGAACAGUCUUCAUGGGUCGCUAAGGAAGAUGUGACUAUCUCUACUAUCCAAUCAUACAAUACACCACAAGCACCACAUACCGAGCUUAUAAGCGACGCAACAAGAAGAUUUGUUCUGUCCAUUCAAUGUAGUUUAAAUUUAGGUACUGUAAAAUCCUGUAAUUUAACUAUAGAUUUCCGGCUAGAUGUAUUUCGUUACCUAUUUAAAGAUCGAGGAACCCAAAUGACCCGCGGAAAGCUCCAACUUCAACAAACUGAUUUUAACGAUGAAUAUUUUAUAGGUAGUUGGUAUAUUUUGUAUGAUAGAUAUGGCAAUGGCUGCACAGUAGAUUUUCCUAUUGUAGUAUGUCCUAGAAUUAAGUAUGGACCGAAAACAUAUAGAAAUAGCAAUGGUGAAAUGUUAGAGUCACCUAGACUACUAUCUGAAAUUGUAUGUGUAAAUCUGGUGAAAAAACGUUGUUGAUCAUUG